This is a long non-coding RNA of Scomber japonicus (chub mackerel), 236 nucleotides long. RefSeq lists it as uncharacterized. The record is from RefSeq and is a predicted model, not a curated record. The transcript is spliced from 3 exons. Lineage: Eukaryota; Metazoa; Chordata; Actinopteri; Scombriformes; Scombridae.
UCCAACACAAACCUCCAUGUGUCUGAGGACAGCAGAGACGAUCAGCUGGAUCCUGAUGAUCCAGAGAGGCUGAAGCAGCAGCAGCAGCUUGAGUGCAGAGAGAAUCUGACUGGGACGAGUCACUGGCAGGACUUCACACCCAAAGUGCUGACUGAGUCUGCAAACAUUUCAUACAGGUUCAGCUGUCCUGGUCCAGGUGUGUUCAGGUGUACUUUGACUGGACUGGUGUUUGGUAC